RNAcentral lists this ribosomal RNA (429 nucleotides) under Gemmatimonadota bacterium. Its description in RNAcentral is "Gemmatimonadetes bacterium partial 16S ribosomal RNA". It matches the Rfam family "Bacterial small subunit ribosomal RNA", at positions 355 to 776 of the family's 1533-position model. The record is from RNAcentral. Lineage: Bacteria; Pseudomonadati; Gemmatimonadota.
UAGGGAAUCUUCGGCAAUGGACGAAAGUCUGACCGAGCAACGCCGCGUGAGUGAAGAAGGUUUUCGGAUCGUAAAACUCUGUUGUUAGAGAAGAACAAGGACGUUAGUAACUGAACGUCCCCUGACGGUAUCUAACCAGAAAGCCACGGCUAACUACGUGCCAGCAGCCGCGGUAAUACGUAGGUGGCAAGCGUUGUCCGGAUUUAUUGGGCGUAAAGCGAGCGCAGGCGGUUUCUUAAGUCUGAUGUGAAAGCCCCCGGCUCAACCGGGGAGGGUCAUUGGAAACUGGGAGACUUGAGUGCGGAAGAGGAGAGUGGAAUUCCAUGGGUAGCGGUGAAAUGCGUAGAUAUAUGGAGGAACACCAGUGGCGAAGGCGGCUCUCUGGUCUGUAACUGACGCUGAGGCUCGAAAGCGUGGGGAGCAAACAGG